UCGAAGAAACGGUGGACCGAGGCUCGCCCC
RNAcentral lists this non-coding RNA (30 nucleotides) under Homo sapiens (human). The record is from RNAcentral. Lineage: Eukaryota; Metazoa; Chordata; Mammalia; Primates; Hominidae.